RNAcentral lists this non-coding RNA (29 nucleotides) under Rattus norvegicus (Norway rat). Lineage: Eukaryota; Metazoa; Chordata; Mammalia; Rodentia; Muridae. The record is from RNAcentral.
UGAAUGCCAUUAUAUUGUGUUCAGAUAGC